Molecule: ribosomal RNA, 1779 nt
Filed under: Drosophila melanogaster (fruit fly)
Lineage: Eukaryota; Metazoa; Arthropoda; Insecta; Diptera; Drosophilidae
Description: SSU rRNA
Rfam family: Eukaryotic small subunit ribosomal RNA (bases 2-1068)
Source: RNAcentral
UCUGGUUGAUCCUGCCAGUAGUUAUAUGCUUGUCUCAAAGAUUAAGCCAUGCAUGUCUAAGUACACACGAAUUAAAAGUGAAACCGCAAAAAGCUCAUUAUAUCAGUUAUGGUUCUUUAGAUCGUUAACAGUUACUUGGAUAACUGUGGUAAUUCUAGAGCUAAUACAUGCAAUUAAAACAUGAACCUUAUGGGACAUGUGCUUUUAUUAGGCUAAAACCAAGCGAUCGCAAGAUCGUUAUAUUGGUUGAACUCUAGAUAACAUGCAGAUCGUAUGGUCUUGUACCGACGACAGAUCUUUCAAAUGUCUGCCCUAUCAACUUUUGAUGGUAGUAUCUAGGACUACCAUGGUUGCAACGGGUAACGGGGAAUCAGGGUUCGAUUCCGGAGAGGGAGCCUGAGACGCGGCUACCACAUCUAAGGAAGGCAGCAGGCGCGUAAAUUACCCACUCCCAGAUCGGGGAGGUAGUGACGAAAAAUAACAAUACAGGACUCAUAUCCGAAGCCCUGUAAUUGGAAUAAGUACACUUUAAAUCCUUUAACAAGGACCAAUUGGAGGGCAAGUCUGGUGCCAGCAGCCGCGGUAAUUCCAGCUCCAAUAGCGUAUAUUAAAGUUGUUGCGGUUAAAACGUUCGUAGUUGAACUUGUGCUUCAUACGGGUAGUACAACUUACAAUUGUGGUUAGUACUAUACCUUUAUGUAUGUAAGCGUAUUACCGGUGGAGUUCUUAUAUGUGAUUAAAUACUUGUAUUUUUUCAUAUGUUCCUCCUAUUUAAAAACCUGCAUUAGUGCUCUUAACCGAGUGUUAUUGUGGGCCGGUACUAUUACUUUGAACAAAUUAGAGUGCUUUAAGCAGGCUUCAAAUGCCUGAAUAUUCUGUGCAUGGGAUAAUGAAAUAAGACCUCUGUUCUGCUUUCAUUGGUUUUCAGAUCAAGAGGUAAUUAUUAAUAGAAGCAGUUUGAGGGCAUUAGUAUUACGACGCGAGAGGUGAAAUUCUUGGACCGUCCUAAGACUAACUUAAGACUUAUGUUUUCAUUAAUCAACGGACGGCACGGACUUGGGGAAUCCGACUGUCUAAUCAAAACAAAGCAUUGUGAUGGCCCUAGCGGGUGUUGACACAAUGUGAUUUCUGCCCAGUGCUCUGAAUGUCAAAGUGAAGAAAUUCAAGUAAGCGCGGGUCAUCGGCAGGAGUAACUAUGACUCUCUUAAGGAGGACCAAUAUGAACCAAACGCAGCGGUUACUCUAGCUAGGGUUCCCUGCACAGUAUGUGGCCGGUCCUUUAACAGCAAGAGAGGACUCGGUGUUCACAUGCGAUCUCGGCACCCAGACGAACUUGAUGAAGAACGUCGACGUGUCGAUAUAAAGGCAAGAUGGAGUGAUGAAGAGAAGUGGAUGAUGGCGAGAAAGGAGGUUGAGCUCACAGCAAAUGGAUGUAAACACAUAAACAAGCAACUAGCGGAGUAUUUUGCAAACCGCAGCGUCGAAGCCAUCAAAAAGCUAAGACAGAGGGGCGAUUAUAGAGAGAAAAUAGAGCAGAUAAGAGGGCAAUCAGCUCUCGCCCCGGAAGUUGCUAAUCUAACCAUAAGGCGCCGCCCUAGUAGAAGUGAGCAAGACCACCAAGUAACAACAUCGGAAACAACUCCAAUCAUUCCCUUCGAACAGUCGAACAGGGAAAUUUUGCGGACACUGCGCGGGUAUAGCCCCGUAGAAUACCAUUCCAAAUGGAGAGCCCAAGAGUUGCAAACCAUCAUUGAUAGGGCACAUCUCGAGGGAAAGGAA